CAGGGAAUAGUUUAAACAGAACAUUAG
Molecule: transfer RNA, 27 nt
Filed under: Ursus thibetanus (Asiatic black bear)
Lineage: Eukaryota; Metazoa; Chordata; Mammalia; Carnivora; Ursidae
Also listed under: 1 other name
Description: partial tRNA-proline
Source: RNAcentral